GUUAUAUGGUCAAGUGAAGAAGCGCAUACGGUGGAUGCCUUGGCAGUCAGAGGCGAUGAAAGACGUGGUAGCCUGCGAAAAGCUUCGGGGAGUCGGCAAACAGACUUUGAUCCGGAGAUGUCUGAAUGGGGGAACCCAGCCAUCAUAAGAUGGUUAUCUUGUACUGAAUACAUAGGUGCAAGAAGCGAACCAGGGGAACUGAAACAUCUAAGUACCCUGAGGAAAAGAAAUCAACCGAGAUUCCCUUAGUAGUGGCGAGCGAACGGGGACUAGCCCUUAAGUGGCUUUGAGAUUAGCGGAACGCUCUGGAAAGUGCGGCCAUAGUGGGUGAUAGCCCUGUACGCGAAAAUCUCUUAGUCAUGAAAUCGAGUAGGACGGAGCACGAGAAACUUUGUCUGAAUAUGGGGGGACCAUCCUCCAAGGCUAAAUACUACUGACUGACCGAUAGUGAACUAGUACCGUGAGGGAAAGGCGAAAAGAACCCCGGAGAGGGGAGUGAAAUAGAUCCUGAAACCGUAUGGUACAAGCAGUGGGAGCCCACUUUGUUGGGUGACUGCGUACCUUUUGUAUAAUGGGUCAGCGACUUAUUUUCAGUGGCGAGCUUAACCGAAUAGGGGAGGCGUAGCGAAAGCGAGUCUUAAUAGGGCGUCUAGUCGCUGGGAAUAGACCCGAAACCGGGCGAUCUAUCCAUGGGCAGGUUGAAGGUUGGGUAACACUAACUGGAGGACCGAACCGACUACCGUUGAAAAGUUAGCGGAUGACCUGUGGAUCGGAGUGAAAGGCUAAUCAAGCUCGGAGAUAGCUGGUUCUCCUCGAAAGCUAUUUAGGUAGCGCCUCAUGUAUCACUGUAGGGGGUAGAGCACUGUUUCGGCUAGGGGGUCAUCCCGACUUACCAAACCGAUGCAAACUCCGAAUACCUACAAGUGCCGAGCAUGGGAGACACACGGCGGGUGCUAACGUCCGUCGUGAAAAGGGAAACAACCCAGACCGUCAGCUAAGGUCCCAAAGUUAUGGUUAAGUGGGAAACGAUGUGGGAAGGCUUAGACAGCUAGGAGGUUGGCUUAGAAGCAGCCACCCUUUAAAGAAAGCGUAAUAGCUCACUAGUCGAGUCGGCCUGCGCGGAAGAUGUAACGGGGCUCAAACCAUACACCGAAGCUACGGGUAUCACGUAAGUGAUGCGGUAGAGGAGCGUUCUGUAAGCCUGUGAAGGUGAGUUGAGAAGCUUGCUGGAGGUAUCAGAAGUGCGAAUGCUGACAUGAGUAACGAUAAUGGGUGUGAAAAACACCCACGCCGAAAGACCAAGGUUUCCUGCGCAACGUUAAUCGACGCAGGGUUAGUCGGUCCCUAAGGCGAGGCUGAAAAGCGUAGUCGAUGGAAAACAGGUUAAUAUUCCUGUACUUCUGGUUAUUGCGAUGGAGGGACGGAGAAGGCUAGGCCAGCUUGGCGUUGGUUGUCCAAGUUUAAGGUGGUAGGCUGGAAUCUUAGGUAAAUCCGGGAUUCUAAGGCCGAGAGCUGAUGACGAGUUACCUUUUAGGUAACGAAGUGGUUGAUGCCAUGCUUCCAAGAAAAGCUUCUAAGCUUCAGGUAACCAGGAACCGUACCCCAAACCGACACAGGUGGUUGGGUAGAGAAUACCAAGGCGCUUGAGAGAACUCGGGUGAAGGAACUAGGCAAAAUGGCACCGUAACUUCGGGAGAAGGUGCGCCGGUGAGGGUGAAGGACUUGCUCCGUAAGCUCAUGCCGGUCGAAGAUACCAGGCCGCUGCGACUGUUUAUUAAAAACACAGCACUCUGCAAACACGAAAGUGGACGUAUAGGGUGUGACGCCUGCCCGGUGCCGGAAGGUUAAUUGAUGGGGUUAGCUAACGCGAAGCUCUUGAUCGAAGCCCCGGUAAACGGCGGCCGUAACUAUAACGGUCCUAAGGUAGCGAAAUUCCUUGUCGGGUAAGUUCCGACCUGCACGAAUGGCGUAACGAUGGCGGCGCUGUCUCCACCCGAGACUCAGUGAAAUUGAAAUCGCUGUGAAGAUGCAGUGUAUCCGCGGCUAGACGGAAAGACCCCGUGAACCUUUACUAUAGCUUUGCACUGGACUUUGAAUUUGCUUGUGUAGG
RNAcentral lists this ribosomal RNA (2110 nucleotides) under Pseudomonas lactis. RNAcentral's name for it is "partial 23S ribosomal RNA". It matches the Rfam family "Bacterial large subunit ribosomal RNA", at positions 1 to 2142 of the family's 2925-position model. Lineage: Bacteria; Pseudomonadati; Pseudomonadota; Gammaproteobacteria; Pseudomonadales; Pseudomonadaceae. The record is from RNAcentral.